UGUACCGCCCUGGUAGUCGGAAGUGAUGACGUGGCAUCCAGCUACAGUAUAGGCGUGUUGACAAGGCGCCAGGUUGGCAGAGGGGAAGGAAGUCGGGGGGCUCGUGAAGUCGCCAGUUAUUAAGUUGGCGUGUUCCGAUCUCCAGCAUACCAGAGCCGGCGAUCACCGGGUUAAAUAUGAAGUCGCCAGAUGUAAACUCAGGCGACCAAAUGAUUGGAGAUCGCCAGAGCAAGCACAUCGCCAGAGAUGAAGGUGGUGCAGAUUAUGAAGGCGGCCGGCGAGACCACAGGGAAGGUGUACGAAGGCACCCUAACUCGCCAGUUCCAGUAGAGAUCGCACUCCCAAGUUAGCUAUGCACUGGGCAGUACCAUGCAUAAGUAACUUAGCCAAAAAGAAAGUCAGAAGCAGCGCCCAAGUCAAGGAGGCUCCAGAUGAUGGCACGUGUACGACUGGAUGCGAGCCACGUGUCCAAGUCUGGAACUGCCAGGAGAGAGAAAGUAACCAGGUAUUUAAGGGUUCCCCAACGAACUUUUG
This 534-nucleotide long non-coding RNA is filed under the name Phaseolus vulgaris (common bean). RNAcentral's name for it is "long non-coding RNA (PVUL_LNC000300)". Lineage: Eukaryota; Viridiplantae; Streptophyta; Magnoliopsida; Fabales; Fabaceae. The record is from RNAcentral.